GGUCUCUUAGCUCAGUUGGAUAGAGCAAUCGAUUGUCGAUCGAUAGGUCACGAGUUCAAGCCUCGUAGGGACCGCCA
This 77-nucleotide transfer RNA is filed under the name compost metagenome. Its description in RNAcentral is "tRNA-Asp". It matches the Rfam family "tRNA". From Rfam's summary of the family: Transfer RNA (tRNA) molecules are approximately 80 nucleotides in length. Their secondary structure includes four short double-helical elements and three loops (D, anti-codon, and T loops). The record is from RNAcentral.